CCUACGGGUGGCAGCAGUGAGGAAUAUUGGUCAAUGGACGCAAGCCUGAACCAGCCAUGCCGCGUGCAGGAUGACUGCUCUACGAGUUGUAAACUGCUUUUGUACGAGGGUAAACGCAGACACGUGUACCUGUCUGAAAGUAUCUUACGAAUAAGGAUCGGCUAACUCCGUGCCAGCAGCCGCGGUAAUACGGAGGAUUCGAGCGUUAUCCGGAUUUAUUGGGUUUAAAGGGUGCGUAGGCGGGUGGAUAAGUUAGAGGUGAAAUGCCGAGGCUCAACUUCGGAAUUGCCUCUGAUACUGUUCGGCUAGAGAAUAGUUGCGGUAGGCGGAAUGUAUGGUGUAGCGGUGAAAUGCUUAGAGAUCAUGAAGAACACCGAUUGCGAAGGCAGCUUACCAAGCUACUUCUGACGUUGAGGCACGAAAGCGUGGGGAGCAAACAGGAUUAGAUACCCUUGUAGUC
RNAcentral lists this ribosomal RNA (460 nucleotides) under uncultured bacterium. RNAcentral's name for it is "partial 16S ribosomal RNA". It matches the Rfam family "Bacterial small subunit ribosomal RNA", at positions 338 to 795 of the family's 1533-position model. The record is from RNAcentral.